Molecule: small RNA, 243 nt
Filed under: Fukomys damarensis (Damara mole-rat)
Lineage: Eukaryota; Metazoa; Chordata; Mammalia; Rodentia; Bathyergidae
Description: 7SK RNA (ENSFDAG00000003273.1)
Source: RNAcentral
GGAUGUAAGAGCAACUUUGGUGAGACUCCUGUUACCCCAUAGGUCACGAGGGUUGAUUCAGGUGAUUUGGCUGGGUGUUGGGGACCCAUUCUUUAAGUGCCACGAAACUGCUCACUUGCUCAGAGAUUUUUACAUUGACAAGGGAAUAAGACUCCUGUACCUCCCCAGGCCCUGCAAACAAUCCCAGAUCCAUCUAUAACUUCUUUUAAUGAAGCAAACUAUAUUUAUAGUCUCUGAAUAUUC